Molecule: ribosomal RNA, 254 nt
Filed under: uncultured bacterium
Lineage: Bacteria
Description: partial 16S ribosomal RNA
Rfam family: Bacterial small subunit ribosomal RNA
Source: RNAcentral
UACGUAGGGCGCAAGCGUUGUCCGGAAUUAUUGGGCGUAAAGAGCUCGUAGGCGGUCUGUCACGUCUGCCGUGAAAACCCGAGGCUUAACCUCGUGGCUUGCGGUGGAUACGGGCAGACUAGAGGUAGGUAGGGGAGAACGGAAUUCCCGGUGUAGCGGUGAAAUGCGCAGAUAUCGGGAGGAACACCCGUAGCGAAGGCGGUUCUCUGGGCCGGUACUGACGCUGAGGAGCGAAAGCGUGGGGAGCAAACAGG